RNAcentral lists this long non-coding RNA (247 nucleotides) under Hordeum vulgare. Its description in RNAcentral is "long non-coding RNA (HVUL_LNC015282)". Lineage: Eukaryota; Viridiplantae; Streptophyta; Magnoliopsida; Poales; Poaceae. The record is from RNAcentral.
UGCAGCAAGGUGGGGUGCCCCGCGUCCCGACGCGUGUCGCACGUUGGGCCGGGCCCAUAGGCGAUGAGAGCCCACGCAGUCUCGCCCCAGUCUGUUGAGCCGUAAACGCCGCGGGCUCGAGGGCUACAAUCGGGGCUAUGGGACCAGAGGUACCCAGGCCCGCAGGCCUGCAGUCCAGGGGCCACCGCGCUUUGCAAGCCUCAGAGCGCCCCUAUCAAGGCCCGUGGAAAUGGCACUCGUGAGGACC